Molecule: ribosomal RNA, 393 nt
Filed under: uncultured bacterium
Lineage: Bacteria
Description: partial 16S ribosomal RNA
Rfam family: Bacterial small subunit ribosomal RNA
Source: RNAcentral
AUACGGAAGGUCCGGGCGUUAUCCGGAUUUAUUGGGUUUAAAGGGAGCGCAGGCGGAGAUGCAAGCGUGACGUCAAAUUUCGGGGCUCAACCCCAUCUCGCGUCGCGAACUGCGUCCCUUGGUUGCGGGAAGGGGAGGCGGAACUCGUGGUGUAGCGGUGAAAUGCAUAGAUAUCACGAAGAACUCCGAUCGCGAAGGCAGCCUUCCGGCCCGUCAACGACGCUCAUGCUCGAAGGUGCGGGUAUCAAACAGGAUUAGAUACCCUGGUAGUCCGCACAGUAAACGAUGGACACCCGCGGUUUGGCCUGUAUGGCUGAGCCGCCAAGCGAAAGCGUUAAGUGUCCCACCUGGGGAGUACGCCGGCAACGGUGAAACUCAAAUGAAUUGGCGGGG